UUUUCCACGUGUGGAAUUUUGUAUGUACCAUAUGAAUAAGGAUCGGCUAACUCCGUGCCAGCAGCCGCGGUAAUACGGAGGAUCCGAGCGUUAUCCGGAUUUAUUGGGUUUAAAGGGAGCGUAGGUGGAUUGUUAAGUCAGUUGUGAAAGUUUGCGGCUCAACCGUAAAAUUGCAGUUGAAACUGGGAGUCUUGAGUACAGUAGAGGUGGGCGGAAUUCGUGGUGUAGCGGUGAAAUGCUUAGAUAUCACGAAGAACUCCGAUUGCGAAGGCAGCUCACUAGACUGUCACUGACACUGAUGCUCGGAAGUGUGGGUAUCAAACAGGAUUAGAUACCCUGGUAGUCCACACAGUAAACGAUGAAUACUCGCUGUUUGCGAUAUACAGUAAGCGGCCAAGCGAAAGCAUUAAGUAUUCCACCUGGGGAGUACGCCGGCAACGGUGCAACUCAAAGGAAUUGACGG
RNAcentral lists this ribosomal RNA (463 nucleotides) under uncultured bacterium. RNAcentral's name for it is "bacterial SSU rRNA". It matches the Rfam family "Bacterial small subunit ribosomal RNA", at positions 452 to 916 of the family's 1533-position model. The record is from RNAcentral.